Molecule: non-coding RNA, 74 nt
Organism: Sciurus carolinensis (gray squirrel)
Lineage: Eukaryota; Metazoa; Chordata; Mammalia; Rodentia; Sciuridae
Source: the annotation of a RefSeq genome assembly
UGGGGAUAUGGCUCAGUUGGUAGAGUGCCUGCCCUGUAAGCAUGAGGCCCUGGGUUCAAUCCCCAGUGCCACAA